Molecule: ribosomal RNA, 322 nt
Filed under: uncultured eukaryote
Lineage: Eukaryota
Description: partial 18S ribosomal RNA
Rfam family: Eukaryotic small subunit ribosomal RNA
Source: RNAcentral
CCCUUAGAUGUUCUGGGCCGCACGCGUGCUACACUGAGUGGAUCAGCGGGUCAGGUUGCGCGAAAGCGUUUCCUAAUCUUUAAAUCCGCUCGUGAUGGGGGUUGACGGUUGCAAUUUUCUGUCAUGAACGAGGAAUACCUUGUAAGCGCGGGUCAUCAUCCCGCGCUGAAUACGUCCCUGCCCUUUGUACACACCGCCCGUCGCUCCUACCGAUUGAGUGGUCCGGUGAGGCUUUGGGAUCUGAGCGGAAAGAGCGUUUCGCUGUUUCUGCUCGGAAAACUCAGUCGAACCUUAUCAUUUAGAGGAAGGAGAAGUCGUAACA